RNAcentral lists this long non-coding RNA (4284 nucleotides) under Homo sapiens (human). RNAcentral describes it as "non-protein coding lnc-NBN-1:32". The record is from RNAcentral. Lineage: Eukaryota; Metazoa; Chordata; Mammalia; Primates; Hominidae.
GACUCCCUUCCGACUCCGCGCCUGCGCAGGAAGCGAUUUGGGGAGUGUUGUGAAUUCCGAGGGCUCCACACUUAAGAGGUUGUACACUCACCUGUCUACCUGGACUCCAAUUUCCAUAUUUCCAGCCACUUGAGGACUGAGAGGUGGAUGAUAAACCCUGUCAUAGUGGAGCAAGUUCAGGUGUUUAACCGCUGUUAUGGGGGAUCUGCCUUUUCUCCCUCUUCUUUCUUACUUCCAUAAGUAUGUAUGUGCAGAGAUUGAAAAAUAACCUUGAGAGAGUCCAUCCAUCUAACUCCAGUUCAUUGGAAAUUUCUGCUUCUUUGAGACUGAGGUUAUAUUCCACUUCUUCUGACUACACCACCACCAUCAAUCUCCUUCUCUGAACUCUUGGAUCAUUACUUCAACCUGAAACAACUCAUCAGGCAGAAUAGUUGCCUACUGCCCCAACCCCACCAAAUGUUCCAGCACCUCUGAUAUUACCUCACAUGGCAAGAGGGCUUUGAAGAUGUGAUUGAGUCAAGGAUCUUGAAUGGGGAGAUUAUCCUGAAUUAUUCAGCUGGACCCAGUGUAAUCACAAAGGUUUUUCAAAGAUGGAAGAGAGGCAGAAGAGCCAGAAAAGGAUAUGUGACAAUGGAGUCAGUGUCAGAGUUGGAGUGACGUGAUGUGAGAAGGAUUCAACCUGCUGUUUCUGGCUUUGAGGAUGAAAGAAGGGGCCAUGAGCCAAGCAAUACAGGUGGCUUCUUUCAAGAAGUUGGAAAAGUGGUAAUAUUUUAUGUUAUUUUGGUUUGAUUUUUGUUUGUGGCAUAUGGCUCUGCUGUCCUGUGACUCUAAGUAGAAGAGAAAAUAGUGCCAAUAAUUCUUCAUGGAGAUGCACCUCUCUCAAGUCUUGAACAAUGUUUGAGGUAGGUGGUGGCCUAAAUGAAUGAGCAUGUCAUGUGUGAUUACUUAGUGAGUGUAGUUUUGUAAGGCGCACCAAGGAACUGGUAAUUAACUGCUAGGCAUGAGAUUACCCCAAGAUUCUACAAACCCACCUAAGCGUUGUUAUAUUUGUGAAAAGAUUAGAGGAGCUGAACUGUGUAUCUUCUUGGUCUCCAGUGGGCAGAUACAAGGGGAUUGCAGCAAAGAUUGGGGAAGUGGCCUCCAAGUAUGCAUGUGGAUGUCCUCUGCUCCUCUGAAACAUGACGGAUGGCCAUUGUCUUUGUUAGAACAAAUAAAAAGCAGAAGUAUAUUUGCCUUUUAGAGAGAGCUCGGUGUUCCUUUUUGCCAAACACAGUACUCUCUCACACCUGCCUUCUGGGGCAGGGAUAUUUUAUUGGACCACAGAUAUUCUGAGGGGAAAGGAGUUAAAAGUCAGAGCUUGACAAAUGCCAGCUCCGGUGCUAAUCAGCAUUUGUCAAAUGCUCUGAUUCUAGGCUUUGAAAAGUCUUGAGUUAUUAAUGAAGUACCCACUAUUCACUGAACACUGUGUAAAGUCCCCAAAAUGGAAAGAAUAAUACUUGCUCGUGUCCUUUUGAAGUUCAUGUUUAUAUUGUCUGUUUCCAGGAAAAGUGCUUUCAGCUGGGCUGAUGAGAACACCUUGGCACUCUUUCCUGCAAUGGGCACUGAUUGAGGGUCUUCCUGGUGUGGCAUCAUCAAAUCCCUGUUGCUCAAACCCACUAAUUAGCUCAUUCUUAUCUACAAGUAGCAGGGGCCCUAAAGCUCUCUGAGAAGAUCUCAUACUGUGUCUCCUACAUUUCAUCUUCUAUAAUCUCUUAUUCUUAGAGACAGAAAGAUGGUUAAAAGACAUCACUUCAUUUCUUUCUCUGGAUUUGGAAAGAGUUAUAUAUUGGGAUUAUGCUGUUAGUUUACACUUGCAUUGUUUAAAUUAGAGGAAAGGUUAUUUUGUGCAGAACAAAUAAAAAUUACUCUUUAACUACCUUUCAGAAUAUCCCAACUUUUAACAUAAGCUGUUUUGUAAAGGCUGGUUGUAGUGACUUGCUUCAUAAUAGACUAUUAAAAUAAGAUGCAUUGAAAUCUUGUUCUUUUCUUUGCAAUACCAUGUAUCAGCUUUGUUUUGAGAGGCAAACUCAAUUUUCCCCUGAAAUUAGGAAAUUACUGUAAGGGACUGGAAUGACACACAAGAAAAGAUUACAUCAUAGCAGGGAGACUAGCCAGUUAGAAUGGGGAUUUCUUUACAAACACUAGACUGGACUAUGGAUUAUAAUUUACCUAGUGUUAAUAGUUGCAGUCAUACAUUAAGGACAAUAUGUAUGUUCUUUAGUUUUUUGUCACUGAGCAGAGGUAGAAACAGGGAAACAACAAAGGCCGAAUAAUUUCCAGCCAUUGCUGCUUUGUUUGCACGGAGCCCUUUGAAAUGUGAACUAAGAAUAUUUCUCAGAAGGUUUUUAGGUGAUUCAUAUACACAGUAAAGUUUCAGAAGUGCUAUAUUCGAGGGCAUAUGGAAACCCAUGGCUUUUCUGCUAGAGGAUUGUCAAAAGUCCAGAAUUUCAUAACUAAAUACCAUGAAUUUAGUAUAGUAGAGCACAGAACUAAAGGCUGUCUUGUGGCUGCAAAGAGUUGACUUCACAUAGCAUAAACUAUAGUCUAAGACAGUGACUUAGACAUAAGAGAGAAUAGAACUUGGUAACUGGGAUUGUUUUACAGCGUGAUCAUGUAUAUUUCUAUAUUAUUCUAAAAAUAUUUAUUAUAUUUAUAUAAAAAUUGUUACAACCGUGUACAAGUGUGCAUAAAUAAAUAGUGUAUUUAUGUAGUCUUUAUUUGAAUGUCAGGCCAGUUAGAGAAGCUAGACAUGUAUAACCAGUUUAGUCUUAACAAUCAAGUUCAGAAAAUAAUAUGUAGACUUCCACCUAGUUCCUUUUCUGAAUAAUAUUAUAGACUUAAGGAAGCUAAUAAGAGUCCAAGAUUCUCUGAGUGCCUUUGUGAAUUAUUUCAUCUGAUUCAUGUAUGUACCUUCAUAUAAUGGCUUUUAAUAUUGAGGAAUAUUUGGAGAUUAAAAGAUUAGAGUAAUUCUGAGCUCAUUAAAUUGUAGAUUGUCAUUUCUUAUGAGGAUUUACUUUUCUGGUACAACAUGUUCUUAUCACUAGUUAUAAUGUAUUUUUUUACUUUUGGCUUAGAUUUUGAGCCCUCUAUUCAUGACAUAUCAAAUGUAGUUCUUUAGAUAUGCUGCUUUCUAAUUAGGAAGCAGAAUGUGAUUGCCUACUAUUCUCUAGCCACGUACCUACUAGUGAAUAUAUAAAGGAUGGAAUUCAGGCCGUGGUUUAUGAAAUUCAGGCUGUGUUUUUGAGUACUUCCAAGUAUGUUUCAAGUAACUUGGUUAUGGUUUUGAAUGACUAGGAAAAUGCUUUGCUUUUUUUGAAAGGGAAAUUGUUCAAAAAUGAGAUUCAAUGGAAAACACAGAGGGUGCUAAAAAUGCAGAGACAUUGUAUAAACCUAUAAGAAAUUUUACAUGGAACCAGAAUUUUGAUGCCCCUUAAAAGGAAACCAAUGAGAUUCCUUAUUCAUUAGUACUUUGAAAGUUGGCAGUGGAAUGAGGAUCUGUGGAGGAAGGGACAGCUGGAUCUUGCACUCAGGACUUCUGCCCUCUGCUCCUCAAAGAACUCAUUAGUCACUGUUCCCACUCCCACCCUGGCACCAAGGAAAAUGUGGAUGUUUCCACCUUUCCCACCCAGGCCUAUUUAGGGCAUACAACCCUUCCUGAAUUUCCUGCAGUACAGUUGAGAUCACACUGUAGCCUCUAACAAGCAUUUACCAGAGAUUCAGCGAUGACAACAGAGAACUACAAUAUAAUGAGUAACAGAUAACCACUCCAUAGAUGUUGCAUGCAUUUCCGAGUGUAUACAGCCCAUUCUCACCUUACAGGAGAACCAGGAAAAGAGAACAAUUUGGGAAGGUCUCUUCAUUUAAUUUUUCCCACACUGCUGCCUCUUCUAUCUUUGGCUUGUUUCUUCUUCUCACUUAGGAGGAAGUGGUUCUCAGAUAAUUGACUAAUCACUUCUUCAUGGUCGUGAACUCAAGGACUUACCUGUUAUGAGGGGAGAAGCAUAAUAAAGAUUACAUCAUGUGAACUUUUGAAAUAAAAUGCCCGAAGACAUAAGAGAGACCCUUACCACUGUCACACUCAAAAGGAAAGCUUAGUAGCUACAGAGAUUUAAAAAGCAAGCAAACAAGCAACCAAGCAAACAACAAAGACCUGAAGAAAAUUCCAGAAUAAUCCUCAACCUGUGCUUUCACAUGCUAAAUUUUCAUAAUGAGAAAGAUAAACUGUGUAUCUUGUGGUGUCAGUGG